UAAUAUUUUUUUGGAAAGUAAUUUUCAUUUAAAUUUUUAUUAAAGGUUAAAAAAAAGAAAAAAAAAUUAAGGUAGUAUUAUUCAGGUAAAUUCGCAGAAAUAAAAAAAACCACUCACACUUUCGCUCCAAUACAAACUGCUUCUCCUUCACGUCUUCACUGCUCCUCCUUUUCCUUCACCUCUCAAUUAAGCAAGUACUCUAUCAUAACGACGAACGUCUUCUACCAGCUUCUCCCACAAAUUUUUUUGCUGAUUUUCGAAUUUUGGGUUUAGCAAUAUUGCUUCAAUUGAGGUUUAAAGGCACUUCUAGAUCAAGGAGCAUAAAUAGGGCCAUUCAACAAAGUUAAGAGAAAACUUCCUCUAUCCAAGAUGUUCGUUGCUUUGCAAGCCACAUCAUCUAAGAAGAGGAGUAGGGGGCCAUCGAAGGCAAUACAAUCAAGUAAGCCUAUGGUGCUUGAAUUCAAUGAUUUUGACUUGCCUACUGGUGAGUAGGAACCAGCUUAUGGAAAAAAAAUUGGUGCAUGUGCUAAGAGAUUAGACAGCACUGUGAAUGAGUAUACAAAAAUAGAUAAAGUGGAUAGGGAAAAUAUAUGGGAGAAGACAAAGCGAAUGUUCCACAUUGAUGAUCCAAGUGGAGAAAGGCAAAAAAGGUUUCAUGGUGCUGUGGCUUCGCGAUUCAGCUGUCACAAGUCGAAUUUAAGGGCACGAUUCAUAACUUUUAAAAACCCAUACCCGACCACUUCUCCUAAAGCAAAUAUGAAGCCAUGGGAAGUGUAUGAAGGUUACUUUACAGAGGAGAAAUGGAAGAGAUUCAAAAUCUAUAGUAAAUCAGAAGAAUUCAAGGUCGGGUCUUGCUAACUCCAACACAUGAAACCGGUUUGGUCCUCGCGUUGCGGGUGGACCAUGAAGUAGGUCUCCGUGUGAGCGGGACUUGAAGGCUUUCAAGUAAGAGCUCGUUUUAGAAGAGUGAAGCACGCUAAAAAGGGCUUAAGAGUGAGUAGAAGGCUAGCUAAAGGGGAGAUGAUGCUUGGAGUAAAAAAAUGGAGCAAUUGUUGCUGCACUUGCUAUUGGAAGCUAUGAACUCAAGCUCCCAUCUAGACUUAUUUUGGUGCUUAAAAACUGUUAUUAUGUUCUUGCGAUUACUAGAAACAUUAUUUUAGUUCCUGUUUUAGAUACUGAAGGUUUUUCAUUUGAAAUUAAAGACAAAUGUUGUUUUAUUUCAAGGAAAAAUAUGUUAUA
Long non-coding RNA from Chenopodium quinoa (quinoa), 1239 nucleotides. RefSeq lists it as uncharacterized. NCBI's taxonomy places the organism in Eukaryota, Viridiplantae, Streptophyta, Magnoliopsida, Caryophyllales, Amaranthaceae. The transcript has 6 exons. The record is from RefSeq and is a predicted model, not a curated record.